AGUGAACGCUGGCGGUAGGCCUAACACAUGCAAGUCGAACGGCAGCACAGUAAGAGCUUUCUCUUACGGUUGGCGAGUGGCGGACGGGUGAGGAAUACAUCGGCAUCUACUUUUUCGUGGGUGAUAACGUAGGGAAACUUACGCUACUACCUCAUACGUCCUACGGGUGAAAGCAGUGGAUCUUCGGACCUUGCGCGAUUGUAUGAGCCGAUGUCGGAUUAGCUAGUUGGCGGGGUAAAGGCCCACCAAGGCGACGAUCCGUAGCUGGUCUGAGAGGAUGAUCAGCCACACUGGAACUGAGACACGGUCCAGACUCCUACGGGAGGCAGCAGUGGGGAAUAUUGGACAAUGGGCGCAAGCCUGAUCCAGCCAUACCGCGUGGGUGAAGAAGGCCUUCGGGUUGUAAAGCCCUUUUGUUGGGAAAGAAAAGCAGCAGGUUAAUACCCCGCUGUUCUGACGGUACCCAAAGAAUAAGCACCGGCCAACUUCGUG
RNAcentral lists this ribosomal RNA (492 nucleotides) under uncultured bacterium. RNAcentral describes it as "partial 16S ribosomal RNA". It matches the Rfam family "Bacterial small subunit ribosomal RNA", at positions 29 to 507 of the family's 1533-position model. The record is from RNAcentral.